RNAcentral lists this unclassified non-coding RNA (90 nucleotides) under Pseudomonas prosekii. The record is from RNAcentral. Lineage: Bacteria; Pseudomonadati; Pseudomonadota; Gammaproteobacteria; Pseudomonadales; Pseudomonadaceae.
UGUGGGAGCGAGCUUGCUCGCGAUGGCGGUCUCAUACUCAGCACAUGUGUUGUCUGUCAGUCCGCUAUCGCGAGCAAGCUCGCUCCCACA